Molecule: transfer RNA, 72 nt
Filed under: Camelus bactrianus (Bactrian camel)
Lineage: Eukaryota; Metazoa; Chordata; Mammalia; Artiodactyla; Camelidae
Also listed under: 2 other names
Rfam family: tRNA
About the family: Transfer RNA (tRNA) molecules are approximately 80 nucleotides in length. Their secondary structure includes four short double-helical elements and three loops (D, anti-codon, and T loops).
Source: Rfam by way of RNAcentral
GAAGAUAUAGCUCAGUUGGAGAGGGCAUGCUUAGCAUGCAUGAGGUCCUGGGUUCAAUCCUCAGUACCUCCA